RNAcentral lists this long non-coding RNA (317 nucleotides) under Solanum lycopersicum (tomato). RNAcentral's name for it is "partial TCONS_00191721". Lineage: Eukaryota; Viridiplantae; Streptophyta; Magnoliopsida; Solanales; Solanaceae. The record is from RNAcentral.
AUUAGCCCUCAACGCUCUAUAACCGAUGUGAUCGCGCUCAUCGAGUGUUCUACGGGCUGAUUCGGAUGGCAUCAUCAUCUCUUCAUCCUCAAACAACAUGUCUCCAACAUGUCCAAUGUUGUUGUCAUUGCUCCCUUGAACCUUAAAGGGUUAAUAGGAGCACGACCGCCAAUCUUGACCUAGUAGCCAUCUUUUAGGUCGGAUUGUAAAUGAAACAAUGUGGUGAGCGCGAGGUAAAGAGGUGUGAAAUCAACUCGACUUUUGUUUUUCCUAUGAUCUCCUUUCCUUUUGAGGUGAAAGAUGAGGAAAGGAAGAGU